GAAAUGCGAUAAGUAAUGUGAAUUGCAGAAUUCAGUGAAUCAUCGAAUCUUUGAACGCACCUUGCGCUCCUUGGUAUUCCUUGGAGCAUGCCUGUUUGAGUAUCAUGAAAUCUUCAAAGUAAAUCUUUUAUUAACUCAAUUGGUUUCUACUUUGGUAUUGGAGGUCUUUGCAGCUUCACACCUGCUCCUCUUUGUUCAUUAGCUGGAUCUCAGUGUUAUGCUUGGUUCCACUCGGCGUGAUAAGUUAUCUAUCGCUGAGGACACUGUAAAAGGUGGCCAAGGUAAAUGCAGAUGAACCGCUUCUAAUAGUCCAUUGACUUGGACAAUACUUUUAUGAUCUGAUCUCAAAUCAGGUAUGACUACCCGCUGAACUUAAGC
Molecule: unclassified non-coding RNA, 378 nt
Filed under: plant metagenome
Description: partial contains 5.8S ribosomal RNA, internal transcribed spacer 2, and large subunit ribosomal RNA
Rfam family: 5.8S ribosomal RNA (bases 1-105)
Source: RNAcentral